This 81-nucleotide non-coding RNA is filed under the name Legionella shakespearei DSM 23087. RNAcentral describes it as "Legionella RNA 69". It matches the Rfam family "Legionella RNA 69". The record is from Rfam by way of RNAcentral. Lineage: Bacteria; Pseudomonadati; Pseudomonadota; Gammaproteobacteria; Legionellales; Legionellaceae.
AGACAGCGCUAUCGCGCUCCUCAGCCCGAACGGCAUCGAAGUAACGACUGGAUAAAGCAAUAUUCUAUUUUUUAGUGAAUG